UCUUCUUCUAGUCUGUGAACACGUUUUUUCCUAGUAAAUUUGCUCCAAUUUUUUCGUGCAGUAACUUUUCUGACAGCUCAAGUUGUCUUGAUUGUACUUAAAAGAUGUCAUGUUUUGAUUUUCGACGUAAUUUUUAAAUAAAAGCACUUAAGUGGAGAAAUAAACGUAGGAAAACGUACAAUUUCAUGAUUUUGUUAUUUAAUAAAAAAACGGACGACA
This is a non-coding RNA of Cinara cedri, 219 nucleotides long. The record is from the annotation of a GenBank genome assembly. NCBI's taxonomy places the organism in Eukaryota, Metazoa, Arthropoda, Insecta, Hemiptera, Aphididae.